AGGAAAUAUGUUAAAACAUUAUUUUAUUCAUCUGAGACAUGCAUGAUGACUACAACAUUGCAAAUCUGAGGUCCAC
Small nucleolar RNA from Rattus norvegicus (Norway rat), 76 nucleotides. Ensembl annotates it as small nucleolar RNA SNORD113/SNORD114 family. Lineage: Eukaryota; Metazoa; Chordata; Mammalia; Rodentia; Muridae. The record is from Ensembl.